This 69-nucleotide transfer RNA is filed under the name Hylomys suillus (short-tailed gymnure). RNAcentral's name for it is "tRNA-Lys". The record is from RNAcentral. Lineage: Eukaryota; Metazoa; Chordata; Mammalia; Eulipotyphla; Erinaceidae. RNAcentral also lists the same sequence under 1 other name.
CAUUAAGAAGCUAGAAUAGCAUUAACCUUUUAAGUUAACCAUCGAGAGUAUUUACCCUCUCCUUAAUGA